This is a long non-coding RNA of Balaenoptera musculus (blue whale), 1086 nucleotides long. RefSeq lists it as uncharacterized. The record is from RefSeq and is a predicted model, not a curated record. The transcript has 11 exons. NCBI's taxonomy places the organism in Eukaryota, Metazoa, Chordata, Mammalia, Artiodactyla, Balaenopteridae.
GGUCUUUAGAAGGUACGAGGCGGCUUUCGGUAUGUGCGUGUUUUGUGUGCUGUUAAGUAAGUUCUUAGCCUGAGCGGCCUCCAGCUCUUGGCAGUUAGGAUCGCCUUAAGCCGGCUGGCAUUUCUAGGCCAGUCGCAGGCCUUCGCACGGUUCACAAGAUGAAGAUGCUGGAGGAUUGCUAGUUGGGUGCGGGCGCGACCUAAUUAUACUCCUCGGGUUGUUGGGCCGAACUGCGGAAAAACCCCGGCUCGCGGGCUCUGCCUCUGAUGAAGCCUGUGUUGGUAGGGACAUCUGAGACUGUUGAUGAAUGCCAACGGCUCUGAUGGCGGCGCGUUCCGAGUUACCGAGUGGGUCUUUGUUAAAGACCUCGCUCGAGUCUCCUUCAGCCACUUGUUCUCAGGAAGGCCACGUGGUUCUCUAAAGGCUGCAUUCCGCACUGCACCAUUAUUUCCGUCAGUGGUUCUUAAUCUUAAUUAUGUUGAAUGCAUAAUUUCAUGCAGUUGUGGAUGGUGUAAACGACUUGCUUACGUGGUAUGGAAACGACGCAAGGUUUAAACUUACGUUUAGAACAAAAUGAAUUUUUUAAAUCCCUAAUUUUUCCUAGGAACGGUGCAGGCAUGGGUGCCAGGCAUGAAUGCAGUGUGGCUUUAGAAUGGCUUCUGGUGGACAGUUGUGUACCAAAGGGAUGAGAACCGCUGCUGGGGUCUUAAAGCACAAGCUUAAUGCUGUAUCCGUGGGCAAACAGGCAUUAUGCAGGAAGUUAAGCACUAUGUAGGCACUAAGCUGAAAGUUGAAGGGGUGGACUUGAAUCCUUGACCUGUCUGGGCCAACUUUUUGAUCCUGGGUACACGUUUUUAUCCAUGGAUGGCUUGCUUGGGGUGCAAAUUUUGGAGAUCUUUUAUAUAAAGGUGUCAAGAGAGGUACUGGCCACAACGCAGGGAGCAAGAAGUUUUAAGCAAAGGCAAAUGUGUUACCCUGAAGAUUUCAAGGGCAUUUAUGACAGCAGUCAUGCAUCUUAACAGUUGACAGGCAGCUGGAUGGAUGCUCAUGGGAUAGGAGAGGAAACAACUUUCAAUUUUUUUUAAA